RNAcentral lists this ribosomal RNA (253 nucleotides) under uncultured bacterium. Its description in RNAcentral is "partial 16S ribosomal RNA". It matches the Rfam family "Bacterial small subunit ribosomal RNA", at positions 524 to 776 of the family's 1533-position model. The record is from RNAcentral.
UACAGAGGUCCCAAGCGUUGUUCGGAUUCACUGGGCGUAAAGGGUGCGUAGGCGGUCGGGCAAGUCUGAUGUGAAAUCUCCAAGCUUAACUUGGAAAUGGCAUCGGAUACUAUUCGGCUCGAGGAAUGGAGGGGAGACUGGAAUACUUGGUGUAGCAGUGAAAUGCGUAGAUAUCAAGUGGAACACCAGUGGCGAAGGCGAGUCUCCGGACAUUUCCUGACGCUGAGGCACGAAAGCCAGGGGAGCAAACGGG